CAUGCAAGUCGACCGGACCCUUCGGGGUUAGUGGCGGACGGGUGAGUAACGCGUGAGAAUCUACCUUCAGGAUGGGGACAACAGCGGGAAACUGCUGCUAAUCCCCAAUAAGCCGCAAGGUGAAAGAUUUAUCGUCUGAAGAGGAGCUCGCGUCUGAUUAGCUAGUUGGUGGGGUAAAAGCCUACCAAGGCGACGAUCAGUAGCUGGUCUGAGAGGAUGAGCAGCCACACUGGGACUGAGACACGGCCCAGACUCCUACGGGAGGCAGCAGUGGGGAAUUUUCCGCAAUGGGCGCAAGCCUGACGGAGCAAUGCCGCGUGAGGGAGGAAGGCCUUUGGGUUGUAAACCUCUUUUCUCAGGGAAGAAGACAGGACGG
Molecule: ribosomal RNA, 376 nt
Filed under: uncultured bacterium
Lineage: Bacteria
Description: bacterial SSU rRNA
Rfam family: Bacterial small subunit ribosomal RNA
Source: RNAcentral